UACGGAGGGGGGCUAGCGUUGUUCGGAAUUACUGGGCGUAAAGCGUACGUAGGCGGCUUUGUAAGUUAGAGGUGAAAGCCCAGAGCUCAACUCUGGAAUUGCCUUUAAGACUGCAUCGCUUUGAAUCUGGAGAGGUUAGUGGAAUUCCGAGUGUAGAGGUGAAAUUCGUAGAUAUUCGGAAGAACACCAGUGGCGAAGGCGACUAACUGGACACGUAUUGACGCUGAGGUACGAAAGCGUGGGGAGCAAACAGG
Molecule: ribosomal RNA, 254 nt
Filed under: uncultured bacterium
Lineage: Bacteria
Description: partial 16S ribosomal RNA
Rfam family: Bacterial small subunit ribosomal RNA
Source: RNAcentral